Molecule: long non-coding RNA, 847 nt
Filed under: Panax ginseng (ginseng)
Lineage: Eukaryota; Viridiplantae; Streptophyta; Magnoliopsida; Apiales; Araliaceae
Description: long non-coding RNA (PGIN_LNC014513)
Source: RNAcentral
UCGUCAAACCGUCCUAAGAUUUCACCCAAAAUGAAAUCAAUUCUUCAUCCAAAUCCAAUUCCAAUUCCAAUUCAUCUUCAUCAUUCACGGAAACAAUAUCCAUUCUCUUCCAACAAUUAUCUCUCAUCUUUCAACUAUAAACACACUGAUCUUGUUUUUUUAAUUAAAAAACUGAUACAAGAAAAUUUUAGUUUUGAUUAUGAUGAUUUUUCCCUUCUCAAAUCGAUUAGGCGUCACCUACAAAGGAAUCUGAUGACUCGAUCUCCGGCAACAAAAAAUCAGAUCGGGUAAAAAAUGGGAGGAACUGCAAGAUCCGCAGCAACUCAGUCACAUCCAUGGAACUGGGUAUCGGAGAUUAGACAAAAAAAAUCAAUAAAUCACAGAUUAAAGUCCCAAAAAAACCUAGGUCUCAACAUCAAAUAUCUUAAUACCACCCAUCUAUCGACCCCACAUCUGAAAUUCACCGACAAUCAACUCUCCAACUCGAGCUUGAAGUGCAUCAAUGGCGGCGAGAGGUGAUGCAUAGCGAGAGGAGAAAUAGGAUGAGAACGAUGAUUGCUCCGACGAAUAUUCCGAUCACCACCCCUAGUUUGAGGCCAAAGAUUGAUGUUUGCUUCGAGAGCUCAUUGUUCACUAAUGAGGCGUUGUAUACUGUCAUUUUAGGGAGAGAAAAUAGACAGAAAAACUGAAAAACCGAAAAACAUAUAUAUAAAAAAAUUCAGUUUCAGCAAAAUUGGAUGAAACUGGAAUAAAUUGAGCUAAAUGGCAUUGUUUUUCGCCGAAAAUUGGGAUUUCUCAGGCGAGAAUUAGUUGUUUUUAUUUAAUUUUAAUGUUUAAUAUAAAGUGA